Molecule: ribosomal RNA, 253 nt
Filed under: uncultured bacterium
Lineage: Bacteria
Description: partial 16S ribosomal RNA
Rfam family: Bacterial small subunit ribosomal RNA
Source: RNAcentral
UACGUAGGUGGCAAGCGUUAUCCGGAUUUAUUGGGCGUAAAGGGAACGCAGGCGGUCUUUUAAGUCUGAUGUGAAAGCCUUCGGCUUAACCGGAGUAGUGCAUUGGAAACUGGGAGACUUGAGUGCAGAAGAGGAGAGUGGAACUCCAUGUGUAGCGGUGAAAUGCGUAGAUAUAUGGAAGAACACCAGUGGCGAAAGCGGCUCUCUGGUCUGUAACUGACACUGAGGUUCGAAAGCGUGGGUAGCAAACAGG